GGCAUGGUGAGAACCUGUGGGUGAGAGGCUCUGCUGCUUUGGGCCAAGCUAAUCCUCCAGCUGAAGCCUGUUGAGCCAAGGGACCCAGCUGGCCUCACUCGUUUGGUGUGAUCUCACCCAUCCUUCCUACAGAUCCCUAGCUGCUAGAAUGCUGUUCACCCAGUUACACUUCUCUGGUACUAUGAUCAGACACCAGGAGCAGCACGCACACAUCCAUUCAGAAGUUCCUGCACAAGCAAGGUCAGAAUGAUGGACGCCUUUGAAAACAGGAUCAGUAAACAGCCUGUUACUGACUGCAGACAUGAUCUUUAUGAUAUGAAAGGGUGGCAUGGACACUGCUGGUGUUAGUGGACUCAAUAGCAGUCCUUCCAGGAACAGCUCACACCUGUAAUACAACUUAGAGCCGUUAUGCUGUAAGGCUCCCCUCAAGCUCCCCUUGGAGCUCUGGCAUCUCUCUUGCAACACUUAACCAAAGCUCUCUGCCAAAGGUGGAUGCCGUUGGUGUGACUGGAACUCCUCUAAUCUUCUCUCAUCAGGCCUGGACUCACCAGUCGUCAUUACAGGACCACAGAAAUGAGGCACAACAGAAGAAGGUUCAGCCUCAAAAUGUAGUCUUGACUUUUCUGACUGAUUUUUUUCCAGUUUUGUCAGACCUGCACUCUACUUCAAUCUGAUUCUGAUCGUAUCAUGAUCUGAGUGUAUAGUUUGAGAUCUGUUGUAUCCAUUACCUGAGCUUUCAAUUAAACUCAGAGUUAAAAAUUUAGCAGACUCCUGCAAAAAGCAAAAUCUUUUUAGUUAAUCAAAAUGAAAAUGUUGUCAAAUGAGUUGCACUAAAGACAUUUCUGCAGCUAAUUUCUGAAUGAAAAGAAAUAUACUUUCCUGGAUGUUAAUUUUUUACUGCCUAAAUCCUCAAAUCCAACUAAACUGUGCUGAAUCAUUCUGCUAUAGCUUAACUACUUUGCGUUGGAAAUAACCUAGGUGUUCCAUUUCUGAUGUGGUAGCUAAUUAAAGACGUUCUGUCAAGGUUGACAGGUCUAAAAUGUGUGUUGCACUGAUAAUUAAAAAGAAGAGCACCCUACCCAUAAUAAACUGGAGUCAUGUUGCAA
Molecule: long non-coding RNA, 1106 nt
Organism: Cygnus olor (mute swan)
Lineage: Eukaryota; Metazoa; Chordata; Aves; Anseriformes; Anatidae
Exons: 4
Source: RefSeq, a predicted model, not a curated record